Rattus norvegicus (Norway rat) is the source of this 5153-nucleotide non-coding RNA. Lineage: Eukaryota; Metazoa; Chordata; Mammalia; Rodentia; Muridae. The record is from RefSeq and is a predicted model, not a curated record.
GUCAUCCAGGAUGAACCCAAAUGUUGCCGCUCGCUCUGUGAGGUCAUCGCUCGCCCGCCUGGAGACCAGCGCUCGCUGGGUAAUCAAUUCUCCAGCAUCCAAUCGAGCCACCACUGACUUGAGGAUCUCUGUGGUGACAGACGGCAGUGCCCCGCUUAUCGUAGUCCUCGCCAAUGCUGGUGUAGAUACGAGGAAGCUGGCUGGCCACGGGACGGAGGAGGAUGCGAAGUGCGAUGCUGACGUUCUGCAAGUCUUUGCUACCAGUGAUGACCGGUGCAUUCCGUGGUUGAGAGCGGCAGUCAAAGAUGAUUGACUUCUGUACCCAAGGGAUGAGAAAGUGAGUCCCGUCUCCUACCACAAUGUCCUGUACGCCACAGAAUCGGUCGAAGAUGACAGCACUGUGUUAUAUAACAUCCACGUUAUAUAAAGCAGAGUUUACUGUGCCUCCUGCAACUGCUAACGCCAGGCUGAACUUUCCGAUGGACUCAAACACUUUGGCAGCCAUGACUCCUGUUGCUUCCACUCGCCCCUGUUUCCACUUCCACAUGAAUUCCCGCUCCUAUUAUUUUUAGAAAAGGAAAUGGGCACAUGUGACCUAUGUACCUUUCAAUAUUAUUUCAAGUAAUUUGGAGCCACCGGUCACUGCGUCCUGCUUUGUAUCCUUCGAUCCUCUUCCUGCUAUGAGCCAGUGUGGUGCUCACGACAAGAGUCUGCUUUGUGGGGCUGUUUCCCUUCAGCAUCACAGCUCAGAGGCAGAGGCAAGACUGUGCAGGGAGGCUGGGAUUAAGCAGAGGUCAGCCGUGGUCCCAGAGGACUGCUGCCAUGCUUCCCCCUCGGCACAGCCUCAUUGCCAACAGCCACCUCUUACUCAGAAUGGCGACUGCCUUUUCUACCGCGAUGUCUGCUACCACUUGUGUUCUAUUUUUUAGCAUUCAUCUAUAUGUAUGUCUCCAUGUACGUAUGUUACUAGUGAGCGGGUACCCACAAAGGCCAGAAGAGGGCGCACGAUCCCAGGAGCUGGAGUCGCAGGCGGUUGUGAGGCGCCCUAUGUGAAUGCUGGGAACCAGCCCCAGUCCUCUGGACAUGCGCAUGCUCUCUUAACUGCCCGGCUGUCUCUCAGUUGCUUUAGUUCUGGGAGGCGUCGGUCUCAAUCCAGAAUUGUGGAUUGCUGUCUAUAUGCAGGUGAAAGCAGUCGCAAGAGAAGACAAGGCCUGUGAUUGGGCAGUGAAAAAGCAAGGCAGGCACAGAGUUUUGGCAAGAGGGUUGGGAGAAAGAAAGAGAAGAACCAAGAUGGAGGACGAGAAGGACGACCCAGAUCUGUGUGGUCGUAAAGGGUCACAGGAUUUUCUUCCGACAUAUUUUUAUUGAUUCCUUGGGAACCUCACAUCAUGAAAUCCUGAUCCCACUCACUUCCCAGCCCUUCUAUGUCUGCACACCCCCUGUGACCUCCCUCCCCAUCAAAAAGAAAAAGAAAAAAAGGGAGCCCAGUUCGUGUUAUCUACGUAUUAACUGGAUCAUGGUCAAACUCUCAGCGGCCUGCCCUUUAAACGGAACUGAGUCCUCCCCUCCUGCACUCCCGUCCCAGAAGCCAUCAGUUGUGGAGAUCUACGUUUUGGCAUCCUUUGCCACACUUUAAAAGAGUUUUCGUUGAUGGCUUCCCAGUUAGGCUGUUACUUCGGGGGGUGCUGUUGAGGUAGGGUGGGGGUUGUCAGAGAAGCCUUCCAUGUCCCUCUGAGUUGACGGUGCAUCAGCAGCCAUAGCAUCACUGCCAGAGUAGCUCUUUGCUCUUUAACGUCAGUGGGAGCACGGCCCAUGGUUUCUAGUGACAGCACAGACUAUAAACACAGCCCCUGGAGGCCAUAGGACCACAGACACAGACAAAGCCCUGGGAAGGACCCCAGGCCAUAUAUCAACACGGCCUCAGGUGGCAGCACAGAUUACAAACAUCCGAAUGGUAACACGGACCUCCAACAUCAAUGAAGAUCCUGGCUGCACUAGGGCCCUGGACCAGGCUUCUUUAUUUUUUUUAAUUCCAGAAAAUUCCACUAGAAUACACGGUCUAACGAGCACAGGGUCUUCUCUGUUGUUUUCUUGUAAACUAGAACAUGGGUGAGCACAUAGUAGGUCCACCACAAAUAUUUGAAAAACAAGUGAUCUCUCUUAACAUAUAUAUAUAUAUAUGUGUGUGUGUGUAUAUAUAUAUAUCAUAUACAUGUAAAAGGCCAUUGAAUCAUUCAUUUGACAUUUAUUUUCUGCUCAAUUAUGAAUAGACUAUAUCUGUAGGUAUGAGAGAACAUUUAAUAUAUUAAUUUUUAAGUAUACUUAGUUUUAAAGUAUAUGAAAUAAAAUAAGGGAACAGAAAAGGAAAGAAAUGCAAUAAAUUUCAGGUUGGGCACCUCCAAUUAAAGUUGAUUAAACAUUAAAUUCAGUCUUUACCUCACGAAUGUGGCAAAUAUAAAGUACAUUGCAUUUUAAUUUUUGGUGUUUGAUAACUAUAAUUUGUAUUUUCUAUAGGAAUAUAUAUUCUCUGCUAUGGGGGUCUAGAGCGGAUUUUUUUUACAUAAAAUGCAUAAAGUAGUUUAUUAUGAACACCCUCUUGGAUGGUGGUUUUAUGAGCCAUAGAAAUUAAAGCAAGAGCUUACUUAGCAAGCUCUGGGAAAGAGCCACACAUUGUACUGGGAACACAUCUUUCUCUAUUGACGCUGCCAGAGCAGACCACAGAGAACCAAGCAAGAUCGACAGAUAGUGUCUUUCUGUAGCUUUGUCCUGAUGCUCUAGAGCUAAUGGAGUCCACUCUGUCACCAUCACUGCCCACCACAGUGGGUGGCAUUUCUCACACGCCCUCCCUGCCUGUAUCUGGUGUGCCUUGGAGGUCAGAAGGGCUGGCAACCAUUGCACUCUGGAGCAAGGUCAAUCCAGUUCCCUCUCACAGGGGAGAGCGGUUUUGUUGAUGGUUUGUUUCCACUUUGAGUUUGACACAGAGUAACAGUUUGUGGUGCAAACUGGCCUUGACAUGCACCAGCCUCCUGUUUCUCACUCCUGAUGCUGGGAUUAUAGGUGGAUGUUGUCUCCACACCUCUCUUCCUUUCAUUGAUUUUAGGCAUUGCACAGCACGGGGGCUCCAGAAGCCAUUCAGCAGUGCUUGCCACAAAGCUUCUCAAAAGAAAGCCCCUGCUUAUCUGUGGCUAGCACUUCCCAUGGUUCCCCGGAGUGAGUGGGAGGAGUCUAAAACCAUCUCCUUUUAUCUAGAGCUUCCUCAAGUACUUGUACUUCCUACUGGAAGCCUUUUGCCAGUUUGAAGUCAGCAAUUAAGAUGUGCCCACUUUUCACGAGAACUAGUACGUGUGCUGUGGGUGGCAGGGGGCGGAGCUUUCGUAGUGGGCGCUGUCGGAUGCAUUCACACACAUGGGAAUGUGGAACCUGUCUAGCAGACUCCAAACGCCAGCCCGCAGGCGGGAGCCACCCUACCAGCUGCUGCUGCAAAGGAUGCUUCUGUGGAUGACUGUCUGAAACCAUUUAUUUACUUGUUACGGUCUGUAGCAUUUCCAAGCUGUCGUGGUGCGGCUCCAGCUGUGGAAAUGAUGUUGCCUGCAAGCUUAAACUACUGACUAGCUACCUGGGGGGCGGAGGGGCGGGCUGUCAGUCUCUGUCUUUGAACACAGGUUGUCUAAAGUGGCUGCACACUAAAAUUGUCUGGAGAGUUCUAAAUGUACAAGGUGGUUUUUCCAUUUUGGACCAAUAAUUCAGCCUGUUCGGUCGGUUUGUUUUAGAGACAGGGUCUCCCUCUGUAUCCUAGACUUGCCUGAACUCAUUGUGAAGACCAGGAUGACUUCGAACUUGUAGGAUUCUCUUGCCUCUGCCUCCUGGGUGCUGGGAUUAUAAAUGUGGGCCAUUGAAGUCUGCUGAGACUUAAAAAAACACACAAACAACAACAGAAAAGCUUUCUGCGAAACAGAAGCCUCAGUGAGGUUUCCUUUGUUGUAAGAAGACACUAUGACAGAAAAUAGCACAGGACGAAAGGGUUCAUUUCAUCUCGAAACCUGUCGUCCAUCAUCCAGUGAAGUCAGUCAGGGCAGGAAGUCAAGCAGAGCGGAACCUGGAGCAGCAGCUCAUGGAUAUGUCACAAAGGCUUGCUCCCCACGGCUUGCUCAGCUUGCUUUCUUAUAGCAGCUAGGACCAGCGGACCAGGGAUGGACCAGCCCACAAUCAACUGAACCACAUCAACCAUCUAUCAAGAAAACGCACCGCUGACUUGCCCACACACGGAUAUGGUGGGGACAUUUUCACACCCAAGGAUCUCUCUUGACUCUACAUCAUAUGAAGUCUCGAAACAAACCAAAGCAGGAUGGCUGGGAACCAUCAUUCGAGACCAGUGGCUCCUCAAAGGGGCUAGUGUUAGAAUCACCUGACAGGAUUUACACUCCCGGCCUGUAUUUCCAGCGUGGUUGUGUAUGCCUUGUGGAGACCCCAGGGAUCUCUACCUAUCCCCCAGUCUCCUGACACUGACACCCAGGGGCUUCUUAUUCCAGGAGUAACAGACCAUACUCCACCUAACUUCAUAGAAACUUUCUGGAACAUUCUGCAUCACCUCAGGUGCUCAUAGCCUGGACCCCCAGGGAAGAAUCACGAUUACAAGGUACAGCCAGUACUUUUUUUUAUCAAUGAGACCGAUAUCACAGUCAGAAGAAAAUGUUUCCACACAUCCUGACGUUCCCCUCUGGUUGGAACGUUGUAAUGGUCAUAAAUGAUAGAAACACAAGUUCCCCAGAGCCUUUCAGAGCCUUUGUGUUUGUGCUUGCAAGUGGCUUUGAUGAGCUGAAAAGGAGGCUGGAGUAGCUGCUGCACUUGUAAUCUGUAAUGCCCGCAAGGGGGUCAGGUUCUCUGUACGUCAGAUGGGCUACCAGGCUCAUUUUCCUCUAAGUGUAGUACUAACAAUUGAUCACCUCAUUUCUGGGGUAUCAGCGUACAGGGACAAGAUUUUCUGCCCAGCUUAUGGUAACUCUCUGCCUGCCUUAGGGAGUCUUAAAUCAAUAGUUCCUACGAUCACUUCCCUUCUUACAUUUGCAGAGUCCGUGUGAACGUGUGUCUCACUGAACCACUCUUCCGUGUUCUUUGGGUAUUACUAAAAUAAACGAGAUUAAAUCAAUAGACAA